This 460-nucleotide ribosomal RNA is filed under the name uncultured bacterium. RNAcentral describes it as "partial 16S ribosomal RNA". It matches the Rfam family "Bacterial small subunit ribosomal RNA", at positions 338 to 795 of the family's 1533-position model. The record is from RNAcentral.
CCUACGGGCGGCAGCAGUGAGGAAUAUUGGUCAAUGGACGAGAGUCUGAACCAGCCAAGUAGCGUGAAGGAUGACUGCCCUAUGGGUUGUAAACUUCUUUUAUAAAGGAAUAAAACGAGGCACGUGUGCCUUUUUGUAUGUACUUUAUGAAUAAGGAUCGGCUAACUCCGUGCCAGCAGCCGCGGUAAUACGGAGGAUCCGACCGUUAUCCGGAUUUAUUGGGUUUAAAGGGAGCGUAGAUGGGUUGUUAAGUCAGUUGUGAAAGUUUGCGGCUCAACCGUAAAAUUGCAAUUGAUACUGGCAGUCUUGAGUACAGUUGAGGUAGGCGGAAUUCGUGGUGUAGCGGUGAAAUGCUUAGAUAUCACGAAGAACCCCGAUUGCGAAGGCAGCUUACUAAACUGUGACUGACAUUGAUGCUCGAAAGUGUGGGUAUCAAACAGGAUUAGAUACCCUAGUAGUC